GUCUAGGUAGCUUAUGUAGAGCAUGAUAUUGAAGAUAUCAAGGAAAUAUUAAUAUUCUUAGACA
RNAcentral lists this transfer RNA (64 nucleotides) under Mordella atrata. Its description in RNAcentral is "tRNA-Phe". Lineage: Eukaryota; Metazoa; Arthropoda; Insecta; Coleoptera; Mordellidae. The record is from RNAcentral.